UAAAAGGCUCUUUUCAGAGCCACCUAUGUUGUCAUUAAGAGCAGCU
Cricetulus griseus (Chinese hamster) is the source of this 46-nucleotide non-coding RNA. The record is from Rfam. NCBI's taxonomy places the organism in Eukaryota, Metazoa, Chordata, Mammalia, Rodentia, Cricetidae.